This is a long non-coding RNA of Megachile rotundata (alfalfa leafcutting bee), 4265 nucleotides long. Lineage: Eukaryota; Metazoa; Arthropoda; Insecta; Hymenoptera; Megachilidae. The record is from RefSeq and is a predicted model, not a curated record.
AACUGACCAAAUUCGCAUACUAGUGCAUGUGUGAUUCACGACAGAGCAUGCACGCGAUGCCCUUGGCAGAAUUGUAGAAACGAUUUAAUCAUUGUGAGAAUAGAGGUUAGGAAAAAAUCACUUUGAUACUCGGGGAGGCAUAUGUAUUUACAUGAAGGACUAAUCGGGAGUCGCAUCGCGUGACCGAUGGAAUUUUGUGAUAUAUUUUAUGCAGCGAAUGCGUUCGAUUUUGCAUCUAUUUAAUUUACUAUCGCGGUCUUGGUAAAUGAGGUUUAUCGAUACAAAUACAAGGACUUUUGAUAUCAUCAGGAUACAGGUGUUGAAAUUUUACAGGUGAAGAUACAUCCAGCUUAAGACAUAGCCAAUUCUUACAUGUUCAAAUCGCUGAAGACUUAAUCAUUCUUAGAGCAGGACAUUGACACUGUUAGUCAAGCUAAAAGAGCCUCAGAAAGUCUUAAUUACGCCAACGCCGAUAUGCAAAUCAAAAGUAAAUAACGGAGCACAGACAUGAAAAGGAGAUGUUUCUGGAUGAUCACGUAGGGACAAGUAUUUUAAGCUUAACGCGCGACGUGCAGUCGUUCAGGCAUUGUACAUAUGUAUACAUACAUAUGUACAUGUAUACGCAGAAUGCCUAUUGAUUUGACCCCGCAUGGACACAAACCUAGUCCGUUCAUGACCAGCUUUAACCAUGAGAUGAGACCACUGUCGCCCAGAUUGGACGCUUUUAGCUGAACUUCGAUUGCACAGGAUUGUACCAAUUUUCGCAGAAACUUACCGCUGUCUAUUUAUAUCGAGAAGCUUGGACACUCCACGACAGUUCGAGCCAGUAAAGAUGCUUUGAAAUUUUUCGAUCAAAUGCACCUAGUCAAAAUUCCAUCAAACAUAUUUGCAAGAGUUUAAAAGGACUGCACCCAUUGUUUUAAUGAUUAUUAUUAAACCAACCGAGAGAUGGAUAGGCGAGGCAGUUGCACGACAUUAUAGCUGUUGAACGCUAUAUAAAGCCGUAUUUCAAACAGACACGUCGAUAACCGGUGCUAGGCUAGGUGACAACGACUAUAGGUGUAUGCAGAACAAUCAGUGAGUCACUACGUGAAAGCCAAACCUUCGUCGCUCGAUACAUAGCGCCGCAUUCUUGGAAGAGGUCUGUGAAUGAAUCUGUUCCAACAAUAAGAAUUCGCGUAUCAAUCGGCAUGGCCAAAUCGAUCGAUGAGGACAAAGAUAUAAUAUGAAUCUUUGGCUGACGUACUACCGCGUCAGCAAAAAAAUUUCAGACACCUCAUAAAUUGUGCUGACGUUGGUGUAACUAGUUGAGAUCCUGGCUAGGUCCAGUUGUGCUAUAAGAAUCUAUUGAAAUGAAUGCGGUAUAGAGUAUGCUAGGCUUCCCUAAAGAUAAAGGUGUUAUAGAUGAAAAAGAUACUACCAUUUGAAGGUUUAGAAUAAUUUUGCAAUAAUAAUUUUGUUAGAAGUAGAGUGGCUAUUUAGCCUUGCGUUUUAGAAAGUUUUUAAGAAACUUUUUCCAUCCAUAGGAAAAAUUAAAGUUAAAUGCUUGUUGAAUCGAUAAGCGGCAUGACCGGUAGACGGAUGAUUGCUUAUGUAAUUGUAUGUAUAUUACUAACACCGAUUGCCGCAAGUUUAAUAUAAUUGGACGAUAAGAUUGAAGUGUUAUUAUCAUAAUAGUCACAAUUAAGUAUGCAAUUUUAUCUAUGGUGUACACACUCGUUUACUCUCAGUAGUAACAAUGAUGAAUGUCAAAAGUUUCUCAAUUGUUUGUUUAAUUAUAUCUUGUCAUAUGACUUUUCACUGUGACACUCGACACGUUAAUAAUAGUUAUAUAUCGUUGCACUAUGCUUGACUGUCAGUCAACGUGUUAACACAUUUAGUUAAUAUUGUUUUUAAGGAUAACAUACAUGCAGGGUGUCCGCAAAAAAUUUGUUAAUCUAGACCUAUUACUACCAAUAGUAAUUUUCGGAUUAUUGCUUGCAAUGUCAAUAUUGAAUGCGAAUCUUUGUUGUCCGUAGUCAUCGUUCCACAGUAAUUGUCAACUUCGUGUACAAGGUCUUAUUGAUUCCUGACACUUUACGAUUACGUGGUACCACGAGAUGGUCACUAUUUACUUUAAAUUAUCCAUCGAUUGGAAAUAAUCAACGAUUCAGAAAAAAAGGACCAUGUUCUAUGACGCUGCACUUGAACUUAUCGUAUGAUCGUUAAACGUGCAGCAUCGAUGUCAAACCUGACCUAGAAUUGGUUAUUUGAUCCGAUAUAUUCUUGCAAUCAAUGUGGAUUGAAAUCUACGGCCAUCUUGGUAUCUUACGAACAAGUGGUUUCGCUGUUCUCUGUAUUGAAAAAAACCGCUAUUCGAGCAACCGAUCCUUCAAUUAUCUUUAACCACGUAAUCGAAUAUUCAUUCCAAUUUUAUUUCUUGCACAAAUACCUGGAAUCUUGAGAGGGCCGACGGGCAACGCCAGUUAACUGUGAUCCCAAUGCAUUCACGAGGAGAAACACUUGGAAUAUUAUACAUCAGCUUUGAAUGAAACUCAACAAUCGGAUUAAGCUUGAGGAGGAAAAUGAUCAUACAGAGAGGUGAUUAAAGUCAACAGUUUGAGAAGCAUUCGACAGUCGAGGAUGCUGCUUCGUUUAUCUCAUAGAUGCCAGAUAAUGUUAGUGGCUCAUCAUUUAUGGCAAAGAAAAAUUACAGAACGACCUGGUGACGAGCUCUUGAAUUAAUGACUUAAAGAGGCGCGAACGAUGCGACGACUAUUACUCACUGUGACAUCCAAUAUUUGGACCUCUAGGGUCAAAUAUAUUGUUUAAAGAUGGAAUACGAUUAACUUCCUUCGCAAGAAUAAUUAAUCUUUAAAAUUGUAAAGCAUGGAAACAGGAAGAAAAUUGUACAUCAGAGUACAAAGUGUUCAGACUAAAAAUAGCUGAACAUUAUUUUCUGUCUAUUCGGUUGAGUUUCAUUGUAAAAUACUGAUGUAACCUUGUUUUGGCAUCAAAAGGCUUCUUUGAAUACAUACGUGCAUCAUUCUCAUGCCUUUUACUACAUCAGCAACAUAAAUCGGUGUUUAGGUAUACUCAAAAUACUCUUUUUUUAUAGGUUUACAUACAUUACGAACAUUGGCUACAUGAGUGGAGAUCAGAUAUGCCUUGACCCCUUUUCAAAAUGUGAAUUGGUUCUUCUUACGUUGUGGAGGAUAAAGUAAUCUGAAGAUCUAAAUCCGACGCGUAUUGCGUGCGGCGGGUCCGUUGACGCAUUGCAGAAGAAGAACGGUCGGCAGGCGAGCGAAUCGGAUAAAAACGACAGAAAAGCGACAAGCAGAAGGAAGAAAAAAGGAGUUCCUAUCGUCUUUCGGAUCGUGACAAUGGACUAGAAGCUGCAGCAGCACGCUGCACACCCAGAACGCACCACGCAAGUUCCAGCUGACGUCCUGGCGAAUCGAAGAAGUGGGGAGGGGCAUACCAGCGCGGGGAACAGAGCAGCCGACCGUGGUCAGUCGCCUCUUCAUCGUCUGAAACCUACCCGGAUGUGUUCACCAAGAGAACAAUUCACGAGUAUGAGCAGUCUUCAGGAUUUCUGUGAGCGACGAAGAACGAAGAAUCGCGCACCGCUCGUCAAUGGUAGUUUGCUGAGCGUCGACCCAGCUCUGGUCCGUCGAUCGAAAGCGUCGCGGCGUAACCAGACCAUGUUAAGCCGCCUAGAAACGCGUCCCGUCGCCGUGACGGCGCACGUGUGCUGCUCGUUCAGCGCGGACAGAAACGGGUUCGCGAAGCUAUUUGAUCAUCAUCGACCACUCCGUCCCUCCUGAUGCUUGCUGAUCACUCGAUGAAGAAGGAGAGCGCGGUGAAAGAUAGGAAGAUUUGAGAUACCAUUGAGCUCAUCGAAGGUGCCUGCUUGACCACCCCAUUCGUUUGGCAGCAUUACUUUAUCCAUGUACGGAUACAAUUCCUCUCCGCCACCGGUAUGGAUACGAAACUUCAAAAUAAUGACACUUAGAAAAGGAAUUCCAGUUCGACAAAUAAGUGCAUGGAGGAAGUGAACUCUAUGAAGACGUAGCGGCAUGCUAUCUUGAACCGCCAACAUCGAUUUCCUCACGAUACUCUGCGUUGGACUACAUUUCGUGAAGUGGACCACGCUAAAUCCCUGAUGAGAUCAUUUGCAGAUAAAGCAAUUGUACGUUGAUACCUGAAGAUCGAUGACCAUAAUAUUGGAUAGACAACGUUCUUCCAUCAAACGCGUAUCCAAUACCAUAAGAAUUCUUCUGGAU